Molecule: ribosomal RNA, 1213 nt
Filed under: Paenibacillus sp.
Lineage: Bacteria; Bacillati; Bacillota; Bacilli; Caryophanales; Paenibacillaceae
Description: bacterial SSU rRNA
Rfam family: Bacterial small subunit ribosomal RNA
Source: RNAcentral
UAGCGGCGGACGGGUGAGUAACACGUAGGCAACCUACCCUCUAGACUGGGAUAACUACCGGAAACGGUAGCUAAUACCGGAUAAUUCCCUGACCCCCCUGGGCUAGGGAUGAAAGGCGGAGCAAUCUGCUGCUAGAGGAUGGGCCUGCGGCGCAUUAGCUAGUUGGUGGGGUAACGGCCUACCAAGGCGACGAUGCGUAGCCGACCUGAGAGGGUGAACGGCCACACUGGGACUGAGACACGGCCCAGACUCCUACGGGCGGCAGCAGUAGGGAAUCUUCCGAAAUGGGCGAAAGCUGACGGAGCAACGCCGCGUGAGUGAUGAAGGUUUUCGGAUCGUAAAGCUCUGUUGCCAGGGAAGAACGUCCGGUAGAGUAACUGCUGCCGGAGUGACGGUACCUGAGAAGAAAGCCCCGGCUAACUACGUGCCAGCAGCCGCGGUAAUACGUAGGGGGCAAGCGUUGUCCGGAAUUAUUGGGCGUAAAGCGCGCGCAGGCGCUAUUUAAGUCUGGUGUUUAAACCUUGGGCUCAACCUGGGUCGCACUGGAAACUGGGUGGCUUGAGUACAGAAGAGGAAAGUGGAAUUCCACGUGUAGCGGUGAAAUGCGUAGAGAUGUGGCAGGAACACCAGUGGCGAAGGCGACUUUCUGGGCUGUAACUGACGCUGAGGCGCGAAAGCUGGGGAGCAAACAGGAUUGGAUACCCUGGUAGUCCACGCCGUAAACGAUGAGUGCUAGGUGUUAGGGGUUUCGAUACCCUUGGUGCCGAAGUUAACACAGUAAGCACUCCGCCUGGGGAGUACGGUCGCAAGACUGAAACUCAAAGGAAUUGACGGGGACCCGCACAAGCAGUGGAGUAUGUGGUUUAAUUCGAAGCAACGCGAAGAACCUUACCAGGUCUUGACAUCCAACUAACGAAGCAGAGAUGCAUUAGGUGCCCUUCGGGGAAAGUUGAGACAGGUGGUGCAUGGUUGUCGGCAGCUCGUGUCCUGAGAUGUUGGGUUAAGUCCCGCAACGAAGCGCAACCCUUGACUUAGUUGCCAGCAGGUAAGGCUGGGCACUCUAGAGUGACUGCCGGUGACAAACCGGAGGAAGGUGGGGAUGACGUCCAAAUCAUUCAUGCCCCUUAUGACCUGGGCUACACACGUACUACAAUGGCCGGUACAACGGGAAGCGAAGCCGCGAGGUGGAGCCAAUCCCAGCAAAGCCGGUCUC